Molecule: transfer-messenger RNA, 351 nt
Filed under: Hasllibacter halocynthiae
Lineage: Bacteria; Pseudomonadati; Pseudomonadota; Alphaproteobacteria; Rhodobacterales; Roseobacteraceae
Description: bacterium KME 002 Alphaproteobacteria transfer-messenger RNA
Rfam family: Alphaproteobacteria transfer-messenger RNA
About the family: Bacterial tmRNA, also known as 10Sa RNA or SsrA, is named for its dual tRNA and mRNA-like properties. Its role is to liberate the mRNA from a stalled ribosome. To accomplish this part of the tmRNA is used as a reading frame that ends in a translation stop signal.
Source: Rfam by way of RNAcentral
AGCCUUCACAGCGCCUACUCGGGCGCCUAUAUCUGUGAUGUCCCCUCGGGGACUAUGGACAUAAACGCGCGCGGAAUAAGCGGUUCGGACCCGGGGGCGGUACCCGGCGGCUCCACCACCAUCCCAUCGUUGGGGGAUCAUGGGGCCGAAACAGGAUCGACGAACGUGUAAAGGCGUCUGCUUUGUCUCGGUGAGGUACCACCGUCAUCGGUCCGAUUUGUACAGUUGCCAACGACAACCGUGCUCCGGUCGCGCUGGCUGCGUAAGCAGUCCGCAAGACCGAAACUUAAGCCGCUGCGCCUAGCCGCGUAGCGCGGGGUUCGCAGGCACCUGGCAACAGAAGCCUGCACU